Ribosomal RNA from Scophthalmus maximus (turbot), 120 nucleotides. Lineage: Eukaryota; Metazoa; Chordata; Actinopteri; Pleuronectiformes; Scophthalmidae. The record is from Ensembl.
GCUUACGGCCACACCGCCUGGUUCACGCCCGAUCUCGUUUGAUCUCGGAAGCUAAGAUAGGGUGGGCCUGGUUAGUACUUGGAUGGGAGACCGCCUGGGAAUACCAGGUGCUUGUAAGAU